Molecule: long non-coding RNA, 2751 nt
Filed under: Sus scrofa (pig)
Lineage: Eukaryota; Metazoa; Chordata; Mammalia; Artiodactyla; Suidae
Description: lncRNA (ENSSSCG00000051566.2)
Source: RNAcentral
AAAAAAAAGGUGCCUGAGAAAAUUGACGGAUGAGCUCUUUGUUGUCAUCUUAGGGAGGUCUCUAGUGAUAUGCCACAGGGCUCUGCCAGAUUCUCAUUUUCAUCAGAAGCUACCCUGGGCAUCUCUGGGGUAUGUAUCCACUAUGUAGGUGACAGAAUGGGAUGUGCCUGCCCUUGCUUUAUGAGAGUGGAGAGACUGAGCCCCGUGGACAGUUGCCUGCCUGAGGUCAGUGUUUGUGGGGUGGGCCGUCAGAGGGAGCAGUUCCCUCAAGGUCCAGAGGUUUUUGGAGCCUGUGGCAAAGAGGAUAAUGGUUUCCUCCAGAGGCGUGCGUGUCCCUAAACCCCAGAGCCUGGGGUGUUUUUAUGUUCUAUGGCAAAGGGGAAUUAAGAUUGCAAAUGGAAUUAAGGAUGCCAGUCAUUUGACCUUGAGAUGGGGAUGUUACCUGGAUAAUCCAGGUGGGCUCAGAGUCAUCGCAAGUGUCCUUAUUCCGAGGAAGCCGGAGGUUAGUCCCAGAGGUUUGAAGAUGUUGUGCUGCCAGCUUUGAGGAUGGAGGAAGGGGCAAGGAGCCCAGGAGUGCAGGCAGCCUCUAGAGGCUGGAAAAAAACAAGGAAUUCAUUUUUCCCAAGAGCUGGCAGCAGGAACACAGCCCUGCUGACACCCUGAUUUUAGCUGUGUACGAUCCACUUCGGACUUCUGACUUCCAGAACUACGAGAUGAUAAAUAUACUUGCACUGCUUUAGACCACCAUGUUUGGGAUCAUUUGUUACAGCAUCGAGAAGAAACAGCCGGCACUUGCCCCGAGAACCCCCAGCAGCCAGGUGCAACCCAGUCAUUGAGAACCUGUGUGUCCCUGCCGCCAGUGACUAUGGAAUCAAGUGACUUUGCAGUGUCUUGGCCUUGACCUGGGGCUGUGGGUGAGAGACACAGAGUGAAGAGAGGGCCUGCAAACUGUAAAGGGCUGUCUAUGCCGGAGAAGAAAAUGAGAUGUGGAGUUUCCUUGUGGCGUAGCCGGUUAAUGAUCCUGUGUUGUCACUGCAGCGGCUUGGGUUGCUGCUAUGGUGCAGGUUUGAUUCCCUGGCCUGAGAACUUAUGAAUGCCAUGGGUAGGGCCAAAAUUUUUUUUUUUUUUUUUUUUUUUUGUCUUUUUGCCAUUUCUUGGGCUGCUCCCACGGCAUAUGGAGGUUCCCAGGCUAGGGGUUGAAUCGGAGCUGUAGCCACCGGCCUACGCCAGAGCCACAGCAACGCGAGAUCCGAGCCGCGUCUGCAACCUACACCACAGCUCACGGCAACGCCGGAUCGUUAACCCACUGAGCAAGGGCAGGGACCGAACCUGCAACCUCAUGGUUCCUAGUCAGAUUCGUUAACCACUGCGCCACGACGGGAACUCCCAAAAUUUUUUUUUUUUUAAAUGAAGUAAAAAAAAAAUCUAGAAGCAGAGAGAUAAUCAUUUGGAAGUUUUGAAGCAGGGAAAGAGUGGUGUGAAGUAGGGAUAUGUGUUUGUGUGUUUUUUCUCCUCUUUCUUUCUUUCUCUCGCCACACUUAUGGUACAUAGAGGUUCCUAGGCUAGGGGUUGAAUCAGAGCUGUAGCCGCUGGCCUACACCACAGCCACAGCAAUGCCAGAUCCGAGCUGCAUCUGCGACCUACACCACAGCUCAGGGUAGCAUUGGAUCCUUAACCCACUGAGCGAGGCCAGGGAUUGAACCUGCAUCCUCACGGACACUCUGGGGGGGUACAUAACCUGAUGAGCCACAGUGGGAACUUCUCUCUUUUUUUUCUUAAUUCCUUCAAAUCCAGCGGGGUACCUGGUUCCAGUGAAGGGCCAGAGAAAAAAAAUGUGCCCCUAGGCUGUCCCCCCACCCAUGAUGAGCCACAGAUGAUUCUCCUUGGUGGGGUCUCCCAUGCCACAGCUGCGUCCCUAAGGAGCAGGUGCCCCGCGCUCUGGGAACAGACCCCUGAUGCCACAUGCUGCUUGCUUCCCGGCUUUAUUGAAAAGAGGAAGAAAAUGGCCCACGCCUUCGGCCCCGAAGGCCUCUGGGCCUGCGUCCAGAAACCUGAAGCCUGCAAUUAAAUGAAACUGGAUCCUAGGUGGGGAGAGCUUCUCCCGCCUGAGUGGAGAGGCUCUGGAGACCAGGCCCUGGGGACCCGCUGCUCAUGGAUGAGCUGUGUGGGGUCAGGGGUGGGGGGGCAGAAGGCUACCAUGGAGAGAGGGGAGGAAGAUUCCAACCAGCCUCCAACUAGGAGGUGGACCACAGGCCACCAGGGAGGAGGCUGCCUUUUAUUUAAAAAGAAAAAGAUGACAGGUGACCUUCUGGUCGCUUGAGUCCCCUCCCUGCCACUUCUCCCUCGGACAUGUGCUUUUCUGAAAAUGUUGUCAUAUUUGCGCGGGCCUGUGCGUGGUUUCCUGCACAGCCUGGGGCCCCGACUCAUCUCUAGGCUGGAAAAAUGCACAAAUGCACGUGGAUGUGUCUUCCUGUGUGUGCGGUGCUGCAGUUUGCUAUUAGAAUGAGCCCUAGGCCUCUGCCGGUUUUGUAGGUCAAAAGUGGUCGAAUAUUGACAGCUUUUUAUAUAACUCAACCUAGUAAUUUCCUCUCCAUGUUGAGACAGGCAAGCGGACCCAAGUGGUUACCAGCAGGGAUUUUGAUGGCGUGGGUUCCCAUCCCCCAUGGCAUGUCGCUCGGUGCCUCAGUUUCCCUAUAAAUAGAGACUGAAACAGUACCUAUUUUCUACGAUUGUUUUGAGGAUGAGAAGUGU